AAUUACUUGACCAUUCAAAGGCUGGCUCAUAUGGAAACUGAAACUUUACCACUUGGGUGUGACAAUCUAUAGAGGCAUAACAAGAAUGAAGCCAAUCUAUACCAAGAAUAAGAUCAAAGUCUACCAUAUCUAACUCUAUUAGGUCUACUAACAUGACUUUAUAAAGGACAGUGACAAGACACUUUCUAUAGAUCUAUUUACCAAUAACUGAC
This 212-nucleotide long non-coding RNA is filed under the name Capsicum annuum. RNAcentral's name for it is "long non-coding RNA (CANN_LNC017765)". Lineage: Eukaryota; Viridiplantae; Streptophyta; Magnoliopsida; Solanales; Solanaceae. The record is from RNAcentral.